GAACUCUCUCUCUCUCUCUCUCUUGAACGCAAUGGAAUGUUGUUCUAUCCGAGUAUCGUCGCCUGUGUCUUCCUCUGUUCUCAACCUUCAGUUUGUCACCAUGUCCACAAUUCCUUGGAAAAUGACAGAUGAAUUGAAGACAAAAUAUUUUUCAUGACAUUUAGAGUUUGUUUGGGUUUGCGAUUUGAAAAUGUGUAAUUUAAAAAAGUGAUUUUCAAAAACGCAGUUAAGUGUUUGGCAACAAUUGCAGUUUGACCUUUAAAAUCGCAUUUUAGCAUUUGAAAUUUUGCGUUUUUAAACAGCACCCCCUUGCCUGCUUUUUGAAAAUGUAGAUUUUUUGCAUUUUCAAAUCGCAAUUUAUUAAAAAUGCAAUUUGAAAUAAUUCAUUUUUUACGAUUUUGUUUAAAAUUACUAUUUUUAUCUACGAAAUCGCAACCUCAAACAUAUCCUUAAUGAGAAUGAGAAACGUACUGAUGUUUAUAUCUGAAUUCUACAUCUUUAUCACUAAACUAAAGUUUACUGCAUAAUUAUAGUUGUUGAGAUUGAUUUUUUCCAUUCCGCGUCUUCAAAUUCGUGAUUGGUUUAACUUGCAUGGCUCAAUCAAUUAACACUGCAGGGCUCUUCAUCCCCAUUUGGUAGAAAAUUUUCGUACAAAUCUUUGCAUCCUUGGUUACUGUUUCUUCAACUUAAUGACUGACCACAGUAGUUUGUUUCCCGAAAAAGUUUAGCUUCUCUCUCUUCAAGAAGAAAGAGCAGAUCCAUAUCAGCAGAAGCUGCUAAGCAGAGUUGGGACUUCGGCAGAUUUUUGAAAACUUUAUAUUUUUUCAAUGGACCCCCAUCUCCUGCUAAGUUCUUUGAAUUUCUGAUUGAGAAACUAUCCAGUCCAUCACCUACUAAACCAGAAAAGGCCAUGGAUAUUCCGGUAUUAUCCUGGUAGCUGGAGCUACUGGUGGUGUGGGUAGAAGAGUAGUUGACAUCUUACGGAAGAAUGGAUUUCCAGUCCGAGUAUUGGUCAGAAAUGAAGAGAAGGCAAGAAGGAUGUUGGGCGGGCCCAGAUAUUGACUUGGUGAGCUAGCUACCAUUUAAAUUCAUACUUUGAUGAAAUUGUUGCAUUAAAUUUCUCUUUCCAACUGAUUAAUUUUAUGCAUUCGUCAAAAUAAUUGUGUUGAAA
This is a non-coding RNA of Corylus avellana, 1171 nucleotides long. The record is from RefSeq and is a predicted model, not a curated record. NCBI's taxonomy places the organism in Eukaryota, Viridiplantae, Streptophyta, Magnoliopsida, Fagales, Betulaceae.